Molecule: RNA transcript, 1975 nt
Organism: Oreochromis aureus
Lineage: Eukaryota; Metazoa; Chordata; Actinopteri; Cichliformes; Cichlidae
Gene: sid1
Gene name: secreted immunoglobulin domain 1
Exons: 4
Source: RefSeq, a predicted model, not a curated record
UGUUACCAUGAUCCAGAAAUGCUGCCUUCCUCUGAGCGAAAGCUCGGUUCAAAUGAAAUGUGGGGAAGUAGAAACCUGUUCUGUGGUCAGAAGAAUCGAGAUUUGUAAUUCUGUUUGUAAAACAUGCCUGCUGCAUCAGUCGAGGUAAAGGUCAGAGAAAGAGACCAUCUGGCUUGUAAUCAGCACUCAGUCCACAGCCCUCAUCUUUGUUGGUAUGGGGGUGCAUUAGUGCAUAUGGAACUGGCAGCUUGCAUGUCUGGAUAAGCAUGAUCAGUACUGAAAGGUGUGCAGAGCAAUAUAUGCUCUCGUCUUGACUUUUACAGAGAGGGCAUUAAAUAUUUCAGUAAGGUAACGCAAAACUGAACACUACACCUGUCGUACAACAGCGAGGCUUUGUAGAUACACCAGGAGCUGAACUGGCCUGCAGCACAGACCUUUCACCACCUGAAAACAUUUGGAACAUCAUGAAAUGAAAAAUACAACAAAGAAGACCCAGACCUGUCGAGCAGCUCGAAUCCUUUAUCAAGCAAGAAUAGGAGAACAUUUCUCUGCCAGAAGUCAGCUGGUCUCCCCAGUUUGGGGAUGUUUACAGACUUGUUAAAAGAAGACAGCGUGCUAAACAGAGAUUUGGAUAUCGAUACGCCUGCGCCUCCUGAAGAGUGUUCACUUGGUUGGCUGUUGUGAUCGGGUUUAUCUUCACCACGGAAAUGAUUCUGUGAUCGUCCACCACUGUUGACUUCCAUGGACAUGGACAGUGCUUUCUUUCUUGCCUACAGCUGCCCAUGAAGUACCUUUUGAGUCAGUUGUCUAAUUACUUUCGGCGCCCUUAAAAAGCGGGUAGCACAUGUUAGGGAGCUGAAACUCCUAAACCCUGCAUCGAACGAAAGCUGAGAGUCUACAAAUUAUGUCCAUGUCCAUUAUACAACUGUAAUUGGAAUGUUUCAGUCAAAAGCAGCAGCUUCCUCAGUCAGUUGAUGAUGGAGUCUCUGCUGGUCUGGGUGAUCCUGCUCGCUCUCAGUGGCUUACAGAACCAUGCAGCUGUCGAUCCAUCAUCGACCAUCCAGGUGAGGCUUGGAGAGAACGCCACCCUGCAGUGCCCUCUGCUGGACACCUCCAAUUUCACCGUGCUCACCACCACUACUGCCCCGACCGCUCCCACCACCCUCAGCUGGUACAGAAAAGCACCAGGACAGGGACCACAGCUUCUUGUCUCCCUCAGGUCUAUGGAUAGACUCAAAGUGAAAUACGGCAACGGUGUUCCCCGCAGUAAAGUCUCUAUAGCGGCCGAUGGCUCACUGGUGGUGCAAGGUUCCAAGCAGAGCGACUCGGCGGUUUAUUACUGUGGAAUCAGCCGGGGAGAUGACCGGAAGAAAGAACCAAGGCUACGGACCCGCAGAAGGAAAUAAUGUCAGGAGUGAAGAUCGGCCAGUUGGUCAUGAAUUAGUUGGCUUUACUUAGCUGCUUGUUCAGACUGUUUCUCGGCUGUUCUUAAGUUUCCCUCAUUUGUUAAGCUUCAUCUUUGAACAUCAUACUCCAGAAAAAUACCUGUACCCCAUCUCACAGUUUGAUAAAUGUGGCUGAGCUUUGCUUUUUUGUUCAGUGACUGAAAACAAUGAGCUUACAUGUACAACUGCAAUUUUUUGAGAUUUUUAAUUAAGUUGUGUUUGAAUUAACAGUGAUUUAAAGGCUGUGCUUUCCCCUGCUCCACAGUCCGGCCAAAUGAAGCUGUUGCUGUAAAGGUAUUUGGUUUUGUGGCACUACUUUUUCUUUCCCCCACCAUUUCUGCUGGCAGAUUUAUUGCUAGAUUAUAGCAUCAGCAAAGCUAAAAAUGCAUAAAUAAAAAUUGCAUUUCUUGUACACUGCAGUACCUUUUCUUUGAUUCUGUUUUUGCCAAAUAUAGGAAACACACUUGCUCACCCAGCAAGAAUGGUUGCUUCCUGUCGAUACCUUCCGCAAUAAAAACUGUUGAUCCAAA